RNAcentral lists this long non-coding RNA (6523 nucleotides) under Homo sapiens (human). RNAcentral's name for it is "non-protein coding lnc-PCNA-1:1". The record is from RNAcentral. Lineage: Eukaryota; Metazoa; Chordata; Mammalia; Primates; Hominidae.
GGAACAUUCAGGUAUAUAAAUAAGGUAAAUGCUUUCCAACGUACAGUAUAUCAUGUUCUUACAUUGCGUGGAAAAAGAACCUACAUGUAUUGUUCAACAUGGAUCACGAGUGCACAGAGAGAGAGAUCAGCUGCAUUUAGUGAAACGCCAAGUUGGGAAAAUGGCACAGCAGUAGCGCACAGGCACACAGCUAUCUGGGGAGGCUGUGGGGACUGUCACGUGGACUCUACACACCGAGAACUGCUUCAAGGUCGCCUGUGUCUGAGUGCGGGUAAAGUGAAUAUCAACACCCAGGCUAUCAGGGUGAGACAACUGAAUUCCAUCAUGUCCAUCCACUUUACAAAGGGGUGGGAGGCACCAUGGAGAAACUGACCAGAAAUGCUCUGCCCUGUCACAGAGGAGACAGAGCCAGGGCAGACACGGCUGACCUCUGGGAGGCACAGACACUGGCAGUGAUGGGUCCCAUGGGAUGCCUGGCACUCCCAGCACAGACAGCUCCCCAAAGCAGGUGGGGAGGCCCUUUCUGUGUUUGGGAACUUUUUAGUUAAACAAAUCCUCAGAAUCGAAUUAAGAAGGAUGUCCACAGCUCGAUCAAAAAAAAAAAACCAAAAAAAAAAAAAAAACCACCAAGGUUCCCAAGAUCCUUCAACAGAGGGGCUUCCCAUCUGAUCUUACCCUCCUGUUUCAGAAGGUAUUAAACAUCAAUAAAAAUUAAAAUAUAUUAUCAGUAUCAACUCUAGAAGAUAACCCAUGGCUUCAAAUCUCCCUGGACGGGUUCUCUGAGCCCAGAUUUCUGGUCCCCAACUCGUAUGACAUCCAGGGCCAGCGAGCGUUCAGCUGGCAUCUGUUAGAGUCUGCCCUCCACUGUGAGACUCCUGGCCCCUCCGUGGCCCUGGUAUUCCUCCUGCUGCUGCCCCUAGGAGUCCUCCAGCUGGAUAACAAUAAACCAAACCGCUGUCUCCUAAUCCCUGACUUGUUCUCCUGACUCCUAGUCCUUUGGUUUCAUCGGCCCCUGAUGUCUGUUCAACUCUUCCCCUUUGUAAUCAGCCCCUAGCACCCAGUCAGCAUGACGUAAGACAGAAAAACAGUUUACUAAAGGCCAGAGCCCUGUGCACAGAGGAUUUAAAAGAAACAGCACCCAAAGGACACUCAUGAAAACAUGUAUGCACAUUCUGCCUGCUAGAAAACAUUCUCAACCUCUUUUCUACUCUGCUGUUCCUUUAAGAAAAGCCAGCAUACAAGAACCUAGCGCAGGUGUCAAAAAAAGGCAUCCAAACUGCGAGGACAGAGGUGGCUAUGUGGAUGAUUAUCGGCAAACACAGUUUCACUAGAGACAAAAUCACCAGGUGGCUAACCCUUCUGAGUGCUUUAUGCAGGCAAGGUCCUCUGGGGGCUGCAAAAGGCUAGGCCCUGCCCAAUGCCCGGGAGACCACUGCAAAGGCAUUCUCUGCUUGAUUUCCAGAGGGCCCUUACCACAACCCCCUCCCCGGCCCAGCAGUGGAGGCUUUCUAUGGAUACAAGGCUGCCUAGGUCUAUUCAACAACACAAUGAGGGAGGAAGCACCAGGCAAGGCAAACACAAACCCAGAAGGACAGGAGGGCUCGGGGGCAAGCCUGGGAUUGGCCUGUCACAGCAGCUGCUUCCUAGAAACCCCCACAACCAUCUUCUCCUGGUUCAUGGCAUUAUCAUUACUUCAGCAAUUCAAUGAAACAGAGGGACCAUUAUUUCCAUACUAUUAAUAGCAAUGUGCUGUUGGGUCCCACUAAUACCCAGGAAAUAAUCCACAGUCAAACCAGUAGUUCAGUUAUUAUUCAACUGACCUAGGAAUUUCAUGGAUCCUGUUAGCCAACACCAUUCCUUCAAAGUGAGGCAGCCUCCCCUUACACACACGUGCCCCAACUCCCCACCCCCAUUCAGAAAACUAAGUUCAAGAAACUCUUUUCAUUAAGUCCUGUGCCUGUUCUCCCUUCAUUCAUGAGUCACCCAUUUGAGUCUUUGCUAACCUAGAAUCCGGCAGAAAUACCUCACAUCAUGUGUCCUCAAUGGGUCACCCACUUCUACCCGGUUACUACUUUUAGAAGGAAACAUGAAGCUCCAGAUUGGCUGCGUCAUAAGGAUGUGGGCAGAACUUCUAGGCUUUUAGUCUACAUAAUCCCCUACAAAGCAGGUUUCUGUUGUCCCCAUUCUUCUCUUCUUGGCCCCUGAGGACAUCCACCCAUACAGGGAACUGCUGCAGGCUCCUGAGCUAUGUGCACAGAAGACAGCCCUUGGCCAGAGCGGGAAGUGGGGUCCAGAGCGAGUCACAGACAGGCCCUCCCUGCCCAGAGUGGAGGUACCACCAGACAGGAGGAGAUGGCCUUCCCACAAGCAGUCCAGACUGUGGGCAGAGGAGGUGAGCUGGAUUCUCAGGCCAGCCAUUCUCACUAAGAACAGAACUUCUGCACACCCCCAUGUCCUCUUGCCUCGUUAGGGUGGCCUCCUAAAUGGUGUGUGAAGCACCAAGAUGCUGUAGGGGAUGUUAAGGUUGGCGUGCUUCUCUCGGAGGGACCCAGACUGUGUGCAGGGUGGUGGCAGUGUGGUGGCUGACAAUCCCAUCUCUGGCAUUGCACCAACGGAGGUCAAACUACCAGCUGAGCUCAACAAAAGUAACUACCAUUUAUUGAGUGCUUACUAUGUGCCAGGCAUGGUACUAAAUGCUUACAUGCAUUACCUCGUUAUAUCCUCACAACCACCCCAGGAAGAAGGUACUAUUAUCAGACCCAACUGCCUUCAAGGUAGAAGCUUAGAGCAGCCUAGAAACCUGCCCGCACCUAGGGUGAUUUGAUCCCAAAGUCUGUCUUAACCACUGCUCUCGGCCUCAGUCAUACUGCCUCAGUUUCCUCAUCUAUAAAAUGGAGACAACAAUACCUAAUCAAAGGCUGUUUUCUGGAUUAAAAGGGAUAACGUAUGUAAACCCUUAGCACUAUGCCUGGCACAUAUUAAGCACUAUACUAUUGCAAUCCUUAUUAAUAAACACACUGAUAUCUCAUUGGCUCAAGAAUAAAAAGAGAAGGCGCCUCAGUAGGUAGGCAUUUGAUGGGAAAAGGAAGGGGAGGGUGGGGGAGGAGACAGGGUCUUUAAACAGCCAACAAAUUUGAAACCCACUGGACAAAAAACCCUAGACUUCACAAACUCUGCCCCUCUAUUCUCAUAAAUCAUCCGCAUGUCCUCAAAAUCCCAACACUUCAGCAUCCAAAGGAUACCUCCUAAACUGCACUCAAAGUGCGUUGGGAAACAUGGUCCCUAUACAAACAGGUGACAGCCUUAAUCAAGAGACAGCCCCAGAUGAGAACAGCCUCCAUCCACCUGAGAGGCCAGGUAAGGCCACUGCUGGUCAACCUGAAAGGGAAGGGCGCAUUCAGAUGGCAACAGCAGCCAGGACUCUUCUGAGAAUAGGGCCCACCUUCUGCAGGGAUGUGGAUAAGGAGAGUCCAGGCCCAAGAGAAGGUGGGCCAGGCAGAGCCCUGAGAUAAGAAUCCUUCGUGACCACUUGGUUUAAACCCUAGCACCCCAUGCAGGUUGUGGCACAAGGCCCCCACCCAACAAGAGAAACUGAGUCAGGAAGUGAGAGCUGUUCAUCUCUUUAAAAACUGGAAGCUGGGCAGCUGCGUGCAGGGUGAUCAAGGGAAAAGGAAGUUUGUUUUGACCAAGUCAGGGAAGAAUACGGGGCUCUGCCUGAGUAUUAGCCAUCAUCUUCAGGCCAGAGUUUGUUCCACCUGCUCUUUGGAGUCCAGUGUUCCAAAGCACAAGUGAGAGUCCAUCCGCGGCUUACUGUCUUGCAAUGUGUCCAUAAAAGUCACCUGGACAUCCUCCCCACCCUGACCUCAGAAGAACAGAAACCUGUUCAAGUGAAAUUGUCCUCCCAACUCCACCCUUUUCUUAGCACAUAAUCACAGUGUGCAAGAAAGGUGGGCCCAGAUAUGUUACUCUGGAAGACAAAAGACAAUAGUGCCUAAGAUAUUACUAAAACAGGAAAAGGCUUCAGCAGUGACAUACCACAUUUAGUAGGGUGAUGAAAAUCUACCCCCUUGGACAUGCAACUAGGACUGGCUUUGUAACUAACAAGACCCCUGCUUCACAGUUUUCUGAGCAAGGACACUCUGUCUCAAGUCACUUAUACUCUCCCACUACCCGACUCUGUCAAUAGUGGAGAUGAACCUGAGCUUUGGGAAACAUGGUCCCCAUACAAACAGGUGACAAGGGCUGAGCCAAGGGCUCACUGACAGUGUGAAGAUCUCAACUCAAAGAUCCAUUCAAAUAAGGCUCCAGUCAACUCAGCAACUAGCUCAGACCAAAUCACAAGGUCUGUGUAGUCUCCCUUAAAACAUAUUUUUGGGAUUUUCUUGCAUAAUAUAGGUCAAGUUACAGUGGAAAAAAAUUCUAUAAAAAUGGAUUCAAAGUCCACCUGUGUAAAGUCAAAAGUUGUAUCCUCCCCAAUGAAAGAGAUUAGUUUCAAAGGAUGUGAAACUAGUUCUCAUACAUUAUAGGGCUGUACAAUACUAAGAGUAAUUACAUUUUAAAUGCAAAAUACUGUAGCUACUAAAAUGCCCAGAAUAUGAAACAAGUUGCCUAAGAGGGUUUCACUUUCAGGAGUAAAACAUAAAUGGAACCUUUCUGAAUACUAAAAGCAGUUAAGAGGGCAGCAUGCGCACACACAAAAGGCAAAGACUCGGUACCCUGUGAGCGGUCAUGAGCAGAGCUCCCAGGGGCUGGGGGGUGCCCAUCAGCCCUGGUUUCUAUGACCCCCUUGUUCCACCAGGCAGGAGCCAACAGCAAUUUAAGCUCCAACCUGGCUCAGGCCAGGCCUCCUGAGCUAGAGGGAAGGAAAGCUGCAACACCUCGGUGUACUCACACGACGUUCACAAAAGCAAGCAGGGCUGGGGGACCCUCCAGGUGUCCUGUGGGUAAAGUGCAGGAUGGAGUGAGUCCUGACUCCACCACACUAUCCUGGGGAAGCUCCCUGCCUGGUAAGGUGCUCAUGACUCUCACCCGAGGUAAGAAGGCUGUUGUGAGAAUGUAGGGAUACAAGUUGGAAAGCAAAGCAAAAGUCUCUGAAUCAGGACUAUGCAGUAUUCAUGAAUACAUAAACAAAUGAGAAGCAUAAAACCAUGCAUGGAAGUGAUAAACAGGGAAUUCACGACAAGGGAGGGCACACAGUUGCAGUCACAUUUUAUUUCUGACCAAUAAAAAAAAAAUGGGUCUAAAGCAAGUGAUGCCAUUCAUGAAGAUUUGAAUGUACACACGUAAAAAUGGUUUCUUGAAUCUUGUCUGUGAAUAGGAAAGAGAAACAUUGUGCUAUAUGGACACAAGGUGGCAGUGCUCUCCUAGCUACCUGACAAAAAAUCCUCAUCUCCAGAAAGCAUGCAGGAGAAAUCAGAAAAUAAAACACAAGCUGACCCUCUGGCCUGCCUGCUAGCAGCUCUAGUGCGCACUCAGCUUCGGCUUCCUAGACCCCCCUUCCCCACCCCACCCCCACCAAGUAACCACUUCCACAAAGGAACAUGAUGAGCCUUGCCCAGUAUGCUCGGCUCCCUGAUCCCAAAGGCAGCCCUAUUCAAGAGCAGGUCUCUGCAGCCAGGCCCCAGCUGAGACUCCCUCCUCUCAAGGAGCCCACCAUAUGCCCACAAUGGGACAAAAGAGACAAAUGAGGAGCCCUUUCGGUAUCUAGUUUGGUGAUCCAGGUUCAUUCUUCAAUCUGAAAACUACAGUUUCGUUAUUGAUCACCUUUACUGUUCGGGUGUGCUGCUGAGAUACCUACUCACCUUAAGGAUAAGCAUGUAAGGGCCUGAAAACACUUCCUGUUUGGGGGGUGCCCAGGACCUCACUUAAUGAGCCUCUACCGGCAUGAACUUGCUCAGCCAGAAUCACAGAAGAGUGGAAUUGGGAGUAGCUCCGAAAAAGAGGCCCUGGAGAGUGAUGCAUCCUGCCAGUGACACAGCCAAUACUGAAAUGAAAGCCCUUGCGAUAAUAUGUUUUGUUUUUAAGGGGCCUUGGACCUGAAUAAGAGAAGCCACGAGGCUGAAAUGGAAAUAAAAGUUCAGCGGAAAGAAGCCGCUUCAGCCCCACACACAUAUGGGAAGUCACUCAAGGAUGUGUGAGCUGAAACAUCCCGAGGGCUCCAUCCUCUGCUGGACACUCUAGAGACCUGGGCUGACUGUGCACUUUCAGGGAGGCAGUGAGGCUAAUUUACAAACAAAAACACCACAAACCAGCACUAGACCAAGGUGCAGAAGCAAAUCAUUACACCCUCGUUGGCAAUGAAAACAUCCACGUCACACCAGCUGGGCUUGCCUUGGAGACCUGCCCCUGCUCAGUUCUGUUCCUGUUCUCCUGGCCCUGGGUGGCCCCUACUCGUCCUCUGUGGUGGAUGUCAGCAUCCCUUUGUCGAUCAGAUGAGACCGCAGCGUGUUGAAGAUGUGGAGCUGCUGAUCUGGCCGUAAAGUCAGGAACUGCUGAAUCAGUUUGCUUGGGUUAGGGCCUCUGG